AGUAAAGAAACUGCUAUGUGCUCCUCAUGAGAGGGGACAGUGCUCAGAGACCAGAUCAGUGCCUGGCACUUUGGGGGCACUCAAAAAUAUGAGAAGUGUGGGGCUUUGGGGUCAGAGAGAGGCACAGAGUGUGGAGAGAGCUGGGGAAGAAUCUGCAGGACACGGUGACACACUGGAUGUGGGGAUGGGGAGAUGACAAGACAAAGAGGACCCCAAGGUUCUGGCCUGAGCAGCUCCAGGGAGGGAGCAGAGGAGCCAGGGAGAAAGGGAGAAAAGAGGUUGAGUUGGCAUGGCUCCCUGUCCCCGAGAGUUCACCACCUAAGCUGGGGGUGCGGGGAGGGAAGGUAUAGGGAUGACAGAAAUAUCUCAUUCAAUUCUCUCUUAUAAAUAGGCAACGAGGAACAUGGGAGAGGGAACAUGUAUAGUUUUAAAUUGCUGAACUCUGAGCAGUUAAAUGAUUUGCUCAAGAGACACAAAAGUUGGUGGCAGCACUUGGAUUUGAACCUGGGGACGAUCCAAGGCCUGUCCAGAGGGUGGAGGGGACAGAAGAGGGCAGAAGAUGCAGAGAGAGAGAGAGAGAAAGAGACAGAGGCAGAGAAAGGACAGAGAGAGAGAAAGGACAGGGAGAAAGAAGCAGAGAAAGAGAGAUUUACAUCAUUGAUCUUGCAUUUCUUCCCACUGGGAAAACAAAAAUAUGUUCACUUUUAGAGCAAUGAGAGGAGACAAAGGCGCCCCACUGUAUGAUAGCUUUGGUGGUUAUAAAUAACUGUCCCCAAAGAAAACACCUGUCAAGACACAUUCACUUCCAGAGAGACGAAUUGUAUCCCCAGUCCAUGUUGAUAUUUAAAUGACUCAGAGUAGAUGUCAGGGGGCGGAGGGCAGAAAGUUGAUCAAUGUAACACAGAAACCUAGCUCAGCUUUCCCAAAAAGCAAUAAAACGGGUAGGUGCGGAGAGCUGUAAAUCUGGAUGAUAAUAAUAUCCGUCCUCGCAAAAGCUACAUGUUUGUUUAUCAUGUUUGCAGGUUUACUAUUGCCCCUCGAAUUUACAGUCAGCAAUCUGCCGGUGAACACAGGGAGGAACACGAGAAUGAGAACAAACUGGCAGAGCACUGAGGAGGAAGAAAUGAUAAAAUAUUUAUCCCCUCACCCCACCCGCUCUGCCCCGGUUGCCUUAAAUCCAAUUUCAAACAAAGGUGGUGAUUUAUCCAAGCAGGGCUGGGCAGCUCUAUUUCAGGCCUCUGACAGCUAAUUGAAAUGAGCAGUCAUUACGGAAUGGAAUGUGUUGCAGCAAAAUGAUUUUUGUGUAUUCUGGAGUCAUUUGCUGAACAAUUAUGGAGAAAUGAACAGUCAGCCAGGGGUGAGACAGAGGGUAUAGCACUUGAUGGCGACAAGACUUUUGCGUGUCCUUUCAAAGUGGGAGACAAGAGGGAGGAAGGGAAAUUCCUUUCUGAGACAUAAGUUAGGUACCUAAACUGUUACCGUAAUUACCUGGGCUUCCAGAACUUGGAAUGCCUAGUUAUUAUCCCAGACCUCCUGAAUCAGAUUUUCUAAAAUAUGGGGACAGGAAGUCCUUUUGUGUUUCCCAAAGCUUCCCAAGUACAGGCAACCCUGCAAUAAGAGAUGGUGCACCAGGAGGGUGGGUUACAAUGAUCCUGUAGACUUGCUGUGAGGCAAAGGUGUGUUUACAAUGGACCUCUUGAUAACUACUGGCCCCAAUGUAGGCACUGCUAUGACAACAGAGCACAAAGCAUUGUUGAUAUUAUCCGUGCAUCCAUGGCUCUUCAUGCAUUUUGAUCUAUGUAUUCCUAUAGUUAGCAUAGUACCUGGCACAUAGUAAGUGCUAUGGAGAUGUCUAUUGAUUUUCUGAAUAAGUGAAUCAAGGAAUAUUAAAGGAUAUUGAAAUAAAAGCCACAAGCCACUUGCCAGACCAGGCCUGACCUAGUCCUUUAGCUGCCCUGAAUAUUACCUCUAGUAAUAUAGAAUUGUUUUUUAUUGUCCCAACCCCAUCUUGGACCCCCAAAGCCAAUGGUGUGGUGCAGUCCACCAGCCCAGCCCUCAACAGCCAACAUAUCUCUUCCCAAACUCACAUUCAGUGGCAUCCCAUGGGUAGUUUAAAAUUGGCCAUGGUAGGAAUAUACACCAUGGAAAUUGGCAAAUGCUACAAAUCAGGUUUUUCUUUUCAUUUCUUCCUUCCUUCCUUUCUUCCUUCCUUCUUUCUCUUCUCUCUUCUCCUUCUCCUUCUCCUCCUUCUGCUUCUCCUUCUUCUUCUUUUUUGGAGGUUUAAACAGUUAAGUAUUUACCAGCACACCACUGCCCAAAGCACACAGGCACGUACCAUGCUAUUUCUUUUCUUUUCCAUGUCUUCAUUCAUACUGUCUCCUCCACUUGAAAGCCUUUAUGUGACUGAUGCCUUGGCCUCCUUAUAACUUCUCUCAGCCUCCUCCUCUUCCAGGCAGCUUCCCCUGACUACAGAGACCAGAUUUGAUUCCUCCUCUAACCUCCCUAAUCACAGCUCUGGACAUAGCCAUUUAGUUUAGUAAUCUAGUGUGUGUGUGUGUGUGUGUGUGUGUGUGUGUGUGUGUGUGUGUCUUACAAGGAUAUGAGCUUCAUUAUGAUGAAACAAAAUCUUCAUUUCUGGAUUCCCAUUGUGCCUCCUGGCACAGACUAUAUGAUGUGCAAAUGUUCAGCUGAUGAAAGAAUGAAUACAUUAAUUAUAUUUAACACCAUCUACCAAUCUGUUGGCCUCAUAAAUCUUUGAGUCAGUGGGUAGAAGGAUCUGGCCUGCCCAGAGAUUGGCCAAGGAGAAAGGGAAACAAGAAACUACAGUGAUGAUAGUAGCUAAUAUUUAUUGAAUAAUAACUCUGUGCUGAGCACUAUGAUGGGAGCUUCACAUAUGUAACAUCAUUGAAGUAUCCCUGGGGGGCAGGGAUUCUUAUUGCCCCUAUUUUUCAGUCGGGGAAACCAAGGCUCAAAAAGGUGAAGUUAUUUUCCCAAGGUCACACAGCUUGGAAAUAAUGGACUUUGAACCCAGGGAGUCUAGUUUCAGAGUCCAUAUAUUUAACCACUAUACUGCAUCCUGGCGGGGGCCAUGUGUGUCCAGAGUCAAGAAGACAGGGUGAGUCUUGCAAGGCAGCAGUGAGGGUUCUGGUAGCAAAGUGCUAGCCUUUCUGGGGCUGAGGACCCGUGGGGUGAGGUGAGAUGAAGAUCAGGCCACCACAAGGGAAGCAGGCUGGGAGCUGGUGGUACAGACGCCUUUGGGUUCUUAGCUGCACAGUUGGUUUAUAGGUUCCCAUGGCAACUGCCAAGCAAUAAUCUCUUAUUCCACAGCUCAGUGGUUCCCUAGAAAUUCUUUCCUCCUCGCUUCCACCACCACAGCCCCCAGCCCAUGGAGGCAGGGUGGCAGUUUCUUCUCCAGGAAUGACUUACACUGGAGAAGAAACCAUAGCCCAAGACCCUUUUGUUACAACAAUGGAGGAGGGAAAUUUGAGAGGAGGCAGAAAAAAAAGAGAAAAGGGACUUAAAAUCUCAAAAGUCAUAUCAUCCAACUGGGAAGGGGCUGGGAGAGGAAGAGGAAUUCUCAGACCCCCUUAAAAAUCUAAUGAAAACCAUGAGUUGUUUCUCCAGAAAAAUGAGUGCAAGCACAUAUACACAUGCACGCACGCAAAGUUUUAUGUAUAGUUUUAAGGAACAUUUGGACCCCUUGGGACCGAAAUUAGGAAAUUAAAAAUCAACGAAUCCAGUGGUUUCCAAAUUAGGGCAGUGGAACCCUAUCUUUAAUCAAAACCAAGUGCAAAAUCCUAAUCUCUAAUGGUGGUUCUCAAGCAGAAAUGAUUUUUCACCCCAGGGGAUAUUCAGCAAUGUCUGGAGAAAUUUUUGGUUUUCAUAACCAGGGGAAGGGGGAGUUGCUGACGUCAUCUAAUGGGUAGAGGGCAAUGAUGCUGCUCAAUGUACUCCAAUGCACAGAACAACCCACCACAAUGAAGUGUGAUCUGACACAAAAUGUCAACAGUGUCGACUUUGACAAGCGCUGGUGUAAUAUAAUAAAUAAAGAAACUACCAGACCAUCAGUAGAGGAUCUCAAAUUCACAUGGCAAGAGGAGACAGAUGUGUACCACAAGUGAGUUAAGUGUGAAGUAAUUUCACAUACUGAACACAAAAGAAUACUUCUCAUUUCCACAAAGAAAUAUAUUCUACCCCUGUAAUUUUCAUGAAACAUGGGGUUCUCAUAGCCUUUUUUCAAUUCUCACUUUUGAUAAAGACAUAUAGAGAAAUGUACUUCUCUACUACAAGAAAAAUAUGCCGGCACAGUACUAAAUGGCAGCUAACUCUAUAUCAAAGAACCAAUAGGGAGUGGUGGGAACAGGAUAUCAUCUGUUUCAGUGACAUCACAGAAAAGUAUAGAGUAGGGAAUUAAAAGAAUUAGUCUCUCCACUAAAACAACCAUAAGGUGGUAAAGACUGAAAGAAUAAACGUUUUGGAACUUGGGAAUUUAAUCCAAAACUUACAACAACCAAGGGAACGCUUAAUGAAGAAAAGAGAAGCUGAAUUUCACUAUUUAAGGAAAUCUUUGUUGGGUCACUGUCUAACCACUGAGAUGGUGGAACAGAGACUUCACUGACCACACAUGACAAGGAAUACAGACUUUGCGAAAAUAAUUUGGAAAAGUUACUAAACAAAUGAACAGUUGCAGCCUCCAACAAUCAACAACAGUAAAUCCUGGGAGCAGGGAAAACAUGAUAUCCAGAGUUACCACUAUAUAAUACUCAACACAACCAGCUUUCACAAGGCAUGCAAAAGAAUGGGAAAGUAUGACUUAGUCAAAGGGAAAAAUAAAUAAAUUAACAGAAAUCAUCCCUGAGAAAGCCCAGACGUUGGAGUAACUUGACAAUAACCUUAAAUAAAUGGUUCCAAAUAUAUCUGAGCAAUUAAAGGAAACCAUGAACAAAUAACUAAAGUAAAUCAGGAAAAUGAUGUAUGAAUAAAAUGAGAAUAUCAGAAACAAUAUUGAAACUAUAAAAAGAAACCAAAUAGAAAUUCUAGACCUGUAAGGUAAAAUAACUGAAAUCAAAACUCACUAAAGGGGUUCAGUAGCUGAUUUGAGCAGGCAGAAACAAAGAAUCAGUGAGCCAGAAGAUGGAAAAAUUAGAAUGAUCUGGUCUGAGGAACAGAAAGGAAAAAGAAUAAAGAAAAGUGAACAGAGCCUAAGGAACAUAGGACACUAUCAAGAAUAACAACAUAUGCAUAUAGGAGUUCCUGAGGAAGGAGAGAAAGAUAAAGGGAUAUAAAGAAUAGUUGAAAAAAUAACAGUUCAACACUUCACAAAUUUGAAUAAAUACAUGAAUCUAUACAUCCAAAAGCUCAAUAAACUCUUAGUAGAAUAAACUCAAGGACAUUCACUUUGAGAUAUAUUAUAAUCAAAUGGCCAAAAAACAAAAACAAAGAGAACCUUGCAAACAGUAAAAGAGAAGUGAUUUGUCCCAUACAAGGAAUCCUCAAUAAGAUUAACAGCCAAUUUCUCAACAGAAAUCAUGAAAGCCAGAGGGCAGUGAGACAUUAAAAGCCCUGAGAGAAAAAUAAAACUGCCAACAAAGAAUUCUAUAUCCUGCAAAACUAUCCUUCAAAAAUAAAGGAGAAAUGGAGACAUUCCUAGAUAAACAAAAGCUGAGGGAGUUCCUUGCUAGUAGAUCUGCCCUACAACAAAUGCUAAAGGGAUACAUUCAGGCUGAAAUGAAAAAACAGUAGACAGUAACACAAGGCCAUGAAGGAUUAAUGAACUCUGAUAAAGGUAAAUACAUAAGUAAAUAUAAAAUCCAGUAUUGUUGUGUUUUUAUAUAAUUUGUGACCCUACAACACAAAGGUGAGGAAGGGAGAUGGUAGAGCUGUAUAGGAGAAUUUACAUCCCAUGAAGGAGAUGGCUACAACUUAGCUUUAGUCAAUUAUUCCUACAUAAGCUACAGUUUCCAGAGCUUCCAAUUUUUUCAAGAAACUUUUAGGUAAAAUCUCUUACCUUUUUAUCAUUUAAAACACAAUGUUGGUCAAACAGAACAUAUUUAUAGAUUACAUGUGGCCCCAUGAUCAGCUGGCUUGUGAACAUUAUACUGGAGAAGCCCGAAACCGAUGGUAUUUUACUCUCUAUGAUCUAUACAUAGCUUCAAUCUUCCUUCUGCCUCUUAUUAAGUUUAUGAGGCCAGAAAUCUGCAGUUGACAAUAAGUGGUUGCCCUGGGGAGGAUAGUGCCUGGUCUCUCAGGAAGAAAGGCAGGGCUUUGAAGAGGGAGGAUAAAGGUUUCUGCCCCAGAGGUAGAACCCUCCGGAUCACUCUGAACAGGGCUUUCUUGAUCUGUAAUCUAGAAGACAGGUCCUCAGUAUAUGGUGGUACAGAUUGUGCACUGCAAACUCUGGUUGGUGUGGGACUGCUGGGAGGUAGUGUAUGGCCUGGGGUCUAAUUCCCUUCCCCCAAGCAGGUGAGUAUGUAAAUUAGUCCCAGAGCUAGAGAACCAAAGCCAGAAGGGAGCUUGCAAACCACUGGCUUCAAACCCUUUAUUUAUCACAGUGAGAUUGGGACACUGAUAAUGGGAAGAACUUGCUUGAAGCAAAACCAGUGGCUAUGAUGAGUAAAGAAUUGCUGACAUUAAACAAAAAUUGAACCAGUUCAGGCACUCUGCUAAACACUUUACAUAGACGAACUCAAUUAACCUUCACAAUUCUAUGGCAUUUUGCACAUGGGGAAAUUGAAACUCAUGGAGGUGAAGUCACUUGCCCAAAAGUCACACAGAGGAAUAGAGAUUCACGCCCAGGCUGUCAGCAUCAGAACCUGUGCCCUUUAUUUGUUUAUGGAUGUGUAGUCUGCACAAGAACAGCUCAUCCCUGUUCCACUGGGCAUUGGCUGGCAACGAGAAUCUUCUGACUGCUCAUCUCUCAUAUGUCAAGGGGUUGGAACACCUGGGCAUCUCUCUCUAUCCCCAUGUGGUCUCUCCAGCAUGGCGGCUUCAUGGAAGCAUUUCUUAUUGGUGGUCAGGGAUCCCAAGGCAUGUGUCCUGAGAGAGGGGGCAGGCAAGUGUAUUGAUUUUAUAGAUCUAGCCUCAGAAGCCACAGAGCAUAAUUUCCUCAUAGUCACAAGCCCACCCAGAUUCGAAGGGAGGGGACAUAGACUCUAUCUUUGAUGGGGAAGGCAACAUUCCACUGUAAAAACAGUACAUGGGAUGUGAGAUCAUGGUGUAGCAUCUUUGAAUAGUAUUAGCUGUCAUGUUGGGUGAGGAAAAGUAGAGAAACUUUGGGGAGAACUGACUCACCGCAACUGGGGCACAGUUCUGGGAUCGCCCUUGGUUUGACUCACUAUUUGCUUCAAGGUACCUCAAAAGGGUAUGCAUGGAGAUCAGAAGUAGAGAAUUGCGAGUUGUAGAAAAUUUCUGGAAGGGGCUGGAUGACGUCUGUAUGCCCCUCUGAAUCCACUCCCCUGCCUCUCCUCCUUACCUUCUUCUCAGGAGGUUGACCUGUGUGGGCUGUGUCAGAAGAGAGCUGGCAGGAGAUUGGGGACGGGAGCAGAGGGAGGUAGGAAAUUUAUUCUUCUGGCCUCCUCCCUGCAGGGCAGCUGUAGGCUGGCUCUGCCUUGGAUCACACCCUUACUUUUGCUUCUUUGCACAUUCUCUCCUUCCAAGUUCCAGGAGCUGCCCCUUUCCUUCCUCCUUUUGAGUCUGGAAGUGGAAACAGUUUCCUAGGUCACCACACUCUCCUGAGGGUCCCCCACACUCUGAUGACAAUUUCAUAAACAUCCAUCCAUAAUAAAAUCUUCCUUGGAUUAUCCUAAUCUCCUCCUGGGAUUCUGACUGAAACAUACAGAGACUGACAUCUAGUUGCCUCUCUAAUAUCAUUCAUUCAUUGAUUCAUUUAUUCAUCCAUCAUUCAUUUAUUUGCAUGUUCACUCACCCCUUGGCAAUUAUUUGGCUCACACAGUCACUCCACACUGCACCCUCCCUCCACUUAUCCAACACACCCCACAAAAGCAUCCAGUCCCCUGCCUCCAGAUCCAGGCUGCUCCAUGAGGACUGAACCAUAGUGUGACUUUUCCAGCAACUCUUUCUUCAGCCAAAAUCUAUGUAUUCCCCUCUCUAAUCAUGGAACUGGAUUUUGUUCAGAAAUACUAUACCAACAAAGCCCUGCCUUCUCCAGGUCUCAGUCCUCCCCACUGUAACCCCAAGGUGGUGGGCUGAGUGAUCCCCUAAGGAUUCAGUGCAUCCUUGAAAUGGGAAGUCUAGGGGUGUAUGCAGGACUUGGAAUCGCAUGAACCAACUCACUGAGAGAAACGAGGUCCAAGAGGGGAAGAGCCUUGCCCAAGGGCACAUAAUAUUUCACACCUACAUUCCCUGUUGUCAAAACUCUGAUUUAGAGGGGGCGGCAGGAUUGUGUGCCUUCUCUCUGCAUGUCAAUGGGCUGAGUGAACCAAGGCCACAGGGCCCCAAGCUGAGACUGGCAGGAGCCUGACCUAGGAAAAACCGCACCCAAUUCCUUGCCUUUGUCGGCUUUCCUGGAAAGCCGACCAUCCACCCUUCCCUCACCUCCCAGUUCUGUGCAAAGUGUUUAAUUAAUAAACAUACCUUUAAAGCAA
Homo sapiens (human) is the source of this 8603-nucleotide long non-coding RNA. RefSeq lists it as uncharacterized. The transcript is spliced from 2 exons. The record is from RefSeq and is a predicted model, not a curated record. NCBI's taxonomy places the organism in Eukaryota, Metazoa, Chordata, Mammalia, Primates, Hominidae.